Molecule: ribosomal RNA, 253 nt
Filed under: uncultured bacterium
Lineage: Bacteria
Description: partial 16S ribosomal RNA
Rfam family: Bacterial small subunit ribosomal RNA
Source: RNAcentral
UACGUAGGUGGCAAGCGUUGUCCGGAUUUAUUGGGUUUAAAGGGUGCGUAGGCGGCUUUGUAAGUCAGUGGUGAAAUAUGGCAGCUCAACUGUCAGGGUGCCAUUGAUACUGCGGAGCUUGAGUACAGAUGAGGUAGGCGGAAUUGACGGUGUAGCGGUGAAAUGCUUAGAUAUCGUCAAGAACACCGAUAGCGAAGGCAGCUUACUAGGCUGUAACUGACGCUGAGGCACGAAAGUGUGGGGAGCGAACAGG